UUGCCAAAUAUUUUUUUAAGCUAUGGCAAAAUAUAUAGCUAAACACUAGUUCUCAAAUAUAAGUGCCGUGCGUAGCAUUUGGAUCAAUGUUGUUUUAAUAGUCUGUGGCUGCGUUAGAAGAUGAUAUAUUCUAUAUAUAUCCUUAGUUUGGGUGAGGAAUGGAUUCAUUGAUCAUCUUUUUGUGUAGUUGAAGUUUUUCUUUUGAGAUUUGUUCAGAGACUGCUUUGAUGAACUUCUUGUUCUUUUCUUUUGUUUGUGAAGUAGAUGCUAUACCCUGAAGGUGGUCAACUUCAUAUAAAUGAAGUUUCCUGGUUUUGCUUUCUACAGGUUCCAGCUCAAGUUUGGGAAAUGUUCUACAAAGUUUUGCGUUCGAGAUGGAUGAUGCCAAUGUCCACUACAAAAGUUUUGAAAAGCCGGAAGAGAAAAGAUUUGCCUAAAGCAAUGAAGAGCAUGUGGAACAUCAGUCCAGUGUGUAUUUGGUGGUGUAGUACGGAGAGAAAGAAAUAUAAGAAUCCUCAUUGACCAUGUUCGAGUGGGCUAUAUGAAUAUGUUACUUCAUUUGACUCAUCUCGGAACCACUAUUAUACAAACUAAUAAUAGUAAGAAGAAUAAUAAGAAUAAUAAUAACAAAAAUAAAAAGUAUGUUCUUUAUA
Non-coding RNA from Solanum lycopersicum (tomato), 653 nucleotides. The record is from RefSeq and is a predicted model, not a curated record. NCBI's taxonomy places the organism in Eukaryota, Viridiplantae, Streptophyta, Magnoliopsida, Solanales, Solanaceae.